RNAcentral lists this non-coding RNA (266 nucleotides) under Brassica oleracea var. oleracea. RNAcentral's name for it is "Eukaryotic small subunit ribosomal RNA". It matches the Rfam family "Eukaryotic small subunit ribosomal RNA", at positions 57 to 306 of the family's 1831-position model. Lineage: Eukaryota; Viridiplantae; Streptophyta; Magnoliopsida; Brassicales; Brassicaceae. The record is from Rfam by way of RNAcentral.
GUGUAAGUAUGAACAAAUUCAGAUUGUGAAACUGCGAAUGGUUCAUUAAAUCAGUUAUAGUUUGUUUAAUGGUAACUAUUAUUCGGGGAUAACCGUAGCAAUUCUAGAGCUAAUACGUGUAACAAACCCCGACUUCUGAAAGAAAUGUAUUUAUUAGAUAAAAGGUUAACGCGGACUUUGGCCUUUGCUCUCAUGAUUCAUGAUAACUCGACAAAAAAAAAAAGCAGAAAUAUAACCCAAUAUAGUAUUUAGCUCUAACAAUAUAG